AACGAACGCUGGCGGCAUGCCUAACACAUGCAAGUCGAACGAGACCUUCGGGUCUAGUGGCGCACGGGUGCGUAACGCGUGGGAACCUGCCCUUAGGUUCGGAAUAACUCCCCGAAAGGGGUGCUAAUACCGGAUAAUGUCUUCGGACCAAAGAUUUAUCGCCUUUGGAUGGGCCCGCGUUGGAUUAGCUAGUUGGUAGGGUAAAAGCCUACCAAGGCGACGAUCCAUAGCUGGUCGGGGAGGAUGACCAGCCACACUGGGACUGAGAGACGGCCCAGACUCCUACGGGAGGCAGCAGUGGGGAAUAUUGGACAAUGGGGGAAAGCCUGAUCCAGCAAUGCCGCGUGAGUGAUGAAGGCCUUAGGGUUGUAAAGCUCUUUUACCCGGGAUGAUAAUGACAGUACCGGGAGAAUAAGCACCGGCUAACUCCGUG
This 433-nucleotide ribosomal RNA is filed under the name uncultured bacterium. RNAcentral's name for it is "partial 16S ribosomal RNA". It matches the Rfam family "Bacterial small subunit ribosomal RNA", at positions 29 to 507 of the family's 1533-position model. The record is from RNAcentral.